Long non-coding RNA from Bombina bombina (fire-bellied toad), 357 nucleotides. RefSeq lists it as uncharacterized. The transcript is spliced from 3 exons. The record is from RefSeq and is a predicted model, not a curated record. Lineage: Eukaryota; Metazoa; Chordata; Amphibia; Anura; Bombinatoridae.
GUUUCUGCACUCGAGGUGGCUGUCUGAGGUGGGAGAAUGAUGAGGGUGCACUAUUUUUGUUUAUUGCUGACCGGAUUCACGUUGCCCGGGAUGAUGACGUCACCUGUUUGGGGGCGGAGCUACCCGGGAGAGCGUGGAUGCCCGGCCAGUCUCACUCUGGUGGUAUGCUGUACUUAAGGGGUGUUUGCAGCCUGAAUCCAUGAGCAGGAGACAGAAAUCACAGAAAAUAAAGAUGACGUUGGUCCUUUACUGUACUUACAGUCAGAUACAUUAUGGAAUUUCCCCAAUGAUAUACAAGUGCUAAUUAUAUUAUGGUUUCUUUACCCUUUUGUUAUUAAAAGAUUGUGUACUAUUGAA